GAUUAUAUAUUACAGCAUGUGUUACUAUAUUCUAAAACUGAACUAGAAAGAAUAAUAAUGGCUUCAAUGAGGUAUUUGCUUAUUUGGGUGAUUCUCUUUCUCUGUGUUUUGAGUUUUUCUACCAAACCAUCAGCAAGGAACAUUCCUAAUGUUUCUAAAUUAAACUCUGAUUUAUAUGAAAUGAGUAUGAAAAGACUCCUUGGCCAAGGUAAUCGACGACCUAAAUGUAAGAGGGGGAGAUUUACUUAUGCUGUGAGUGUGAGUCGCUUGAGGCAAGAUCAACCACGUUGCCAUAAUUAUUGAUGAGAUCUGUUGUUGAUUUGUAAUUAAAUUGCAGAAGAAUAAUUAUUCUCGUUAAAAAAAUUUGGAGACCACUAGUUAUUUGUGAUUCUACUUUUUACGGCCAAUUUUAUUUGAAUGGUAAUGAAAACUGCUGAAACUAUUAUGGGAAAAA
Long non-coding RNA from Lathyrus oleraceus (garden pea), 454 nucleotides. RefSeq lists it as uncharacterized. The record is from RefSeq and is a predicted model, not a curated record. Lineage: Eukaryota; Viridiplantae; Streptophyta; Magnoliopsida; Fabales; Fabaceae. The transcript is spliced from 2 exons.